GUGCAUGUAGCUCAGUGGUAGAGAACUUGCCUAGCAUGCAAGAGGCCCUGGGUUCCAUCCCCCACACCACA
Molecule: transfer RNA, 71 nt
Filed under: Marmota marmota marmota (Alpine marmot)
Lineage: Eukaryota; Metazoa; Chordata; Mammalia; Rodentia; Sciuridae
Also listed under: 1 other name
Rfam family: tRNA
About the family: Transfer RNA (tRNA) molecules are approximately 80 nucleotides in length. Their secondary structure includes four short double-helical elements and three loops (D, anti-codon, and T loops).
Source: Rfam by way of RNAcentral